UACAGGGGGGGCAAGCGUUGUUCGGAAUUACUGGGCGUAAAGGGCUCGUAGGCGGCCAACUAAGUCGGACGUGAAAUCCCUCGGCUUAACCGGGGAACUGCGUCCGAUACUGGAUGGCUUGAGUUUGGGAGAGGGAUGCGGAAUUCCAGGUGUAGCGGUGAAAUGCGUAGAUAUCUGGAGGAACACCGGUGGCGAAGGCGGCAUCCUGGACCAACACUGACGCUGAGGAGCGAAAGCCAGGGGAGCAAAGCGGGG
This 255-nucleotide ribosomal RNA is filed under the name uncultured bacterium. RNAcentral's name for it is "partial 16S ribosomal RNA". It matches the Rfam family "Bacterial small subunit ribosomal RNA", at positions 524 to 778 of the family's 1533-position model. The record is from RNAcentral.